RNAcentral lists this small RNA (187 nucleotides) under Apis mellifera (honey bee). RNAcentral's name for it is "circAmLIMdop2". The record is from RNAcentral. Lineage: Eukaryota; Metazoa; Arthropoda; Insecta; Hymenoptera; Apidae.
GGGAAUCNNNNNNCAUUGCGCGGCUUGCAACAAGCAGAUACCGCCGUUCGAGAUGGUUAUGAAGGCCAGGACGAACGUCUAUCACCUGGAUUGUUUCGCCUGCCAACAGUGCACUCAUCGACGGCGCUCCAGCCGAAAUCACGAUGACGAUGGACGUGAGCAAGUCGGAGCCGAGUAAAAAUGGCGC